AACUUUCAGCAACGGCUCUCUUGGCUCUCGCAUCGAUGAAGAACGCAGCGAAAUGCGAUAAGUAAUGUGAAUUGCAGAAUUCAGUGAAUCAUCGAAUCUUUGAACGCACCUUGCGCUCCUUGGUAUCCCGAGGAGCAUGCCUGUUUGAGUGCCAUUAAAUUCUCAACCUUCCAACUUUUAUUAGCUUGGAUAGGCUUGGAUGUGGGGGUUGCAGGCUUCAUCAAUGAGGUCAGCUCUUCUUAAAUGCAUUAGCGGAACUUUUAUGGACCGUCUAUUGGUGUGAUAAUUAUCUACGCCGUGGAUGAGAAACAGCUUUAUCAAGUUCAGCUUCUAACCGUCCAUUGACUUGGACAAUUUUGACAAUUUGACCUCAAAUCAGGUAGGACUACCCGCUGAACUUAAGCAUAUCAAUAAGCGGAGGCU
RNAcentral lists this unclassified non-coding RNA (423 nucleotides) under uncultured Tricholomataceae. RNAcentral describes it as "sequence contains ITS2". The stretch from base 1 to 154 matches the Rfam family "5.8S ribosomal RNA". The record is from RNAcentral. Lineage: Eukaryota; Fungi; Basidiomycota; Agaricomycetes; Agaricales; Tricholomataceae.